This 72-nucleotide transfer RNA is filed under the name marine eukaryotic metagenome. It matches the Rfam family "tRNA". Rfam says of the family: Transfer RNA (tRNA) molecules are approximately 80 nucleotides in length. The record is from RNAcentral.
GGGAUGUAGCUCAGUUGGCUAGAGCGCUUGACUGGCAGUCAAGAGGUCGUGGGUUCGACUCCCAUCUUCUCC